AGAGUUUGAUCAUGGCUCAGGACGAACGCUGGCGGCACGCUUAACACAUGCAUGUCGAACGAGAGAAGAGGAGCUUGCUUUUCUGAUCUAGUGGCGGACGGGUGAGUAACACGUGAGCAAUCUGCCUUUCAGAGGGGGAUACCGAUUGGAAACGAUCGUUAAUACCGCAUAACAUAAUUGAACCGCAUGAUUUGAUUAUCAAAGAUUUAUCGCUGAAAGAUGAGCUCGCGUCUGAUUAGCUAGUUGGUAAGGUAACGGCUUACCAAGGCGACGAUCAGUAGCCGGACUGAGAGGUUGAUCGGCCACAUUGGGACUGAGACACGGCCCAGACUCCUACGGGAGGCAGCAGUGGGGAAUAUUGCACAAUGGAGGAAACUCUGAUGCAGCGAUGCCGCGUGAGGGAAGAAGGUUUUAGGAUUGUAAACCUCUGUCUUCAGGGACGAAAAAAGACGGUACCUGAGGAGGAAGCUCCGGCUAACUACGUGCCAGCAGCCGCGGUAAUACGUAGGGAGCGAGCGUUGUCCGGAAUUACUGGGUGUAAAGGGAGCGUAGGCGGGAUCGCAAGUCAGAUGUGAAAACUAUGGGCUUAACCCAUAAACUGCAUUUGAAACUGUGGUUCUUGAGUGAAGUAGAGGUAAGCGGAAUUCCUAGUGUAGCGGUGAAAUGCGUAGAUAUUAGGAGGAACAUCAGUGGCGAAGGCGGCUUACUGGGCUUUAACUGACGCUGAGGCUCGAAAGCGUGGGGAGCAAACAGGAUUAGAUACCCUGGUAGUCCACGCCGUAAACGAUGAUUACUAGGUGUGGGGGGACUGACCCCUUCCGUGCCGCAGCAAACGCAAUAAGUAAUCCACCUGGGGAGUACGACCGCAAGGUUGAAACUCAAAGGAAUUGACGGGGGCCCGCACAAGCAGUGGAGUAUGUGGAUUAAUUCGAAGCAACGCGAAGAACCUUACCAGGUCUUGACAUCGUAUGCAUAGCUCAGAGAUGAGUGAAAUCUCUUCGGAGACAUAUAGACAGGUGGUGCAUGGUUGUCGUCAGCUCGUGUCGUGAGAUGUUGGGUUAAGUCCCGCAACGAGCGCAACCCUUACUGUUAGUUGCUACGCAAGAGCACUCUAGCAGGACUGCCGUUGACAAAACGGAGGAAGGUGGGGAUGACGUCAAAUCAUCAUGCCCCUUAUGACCUGGGCCUCACACGUACUACAAUGGCUGUCAACAGAGGGAAGCAAAGCCGCGAGGUGGAGCGAACCCCUAAAAGCAGUCUUAGUUCGGAUUGUAGGCUGCAACCCGCCUACAUGAAGUCGGAAUUGCUAGUAAUCGCAGAUCAGCAUGCUGCGGUGAAUACGUUCCCGGGCCUUGUACACACCGCCCGUCACGCCAUGGGAGUCGGUAACACCCGAAGCCUGUAGUCUAACCGCAAGGAGGACGCAGUCGAAGGUAGGAUUGAUGACUGGGGUGAAGUCGUAACAAGGUA
Molecule: ribosomal RNA, 1470 nt
Filed under: metagenome
Description: bacterial SSU rRNA
Rfam family: Bacterial small subunit ribosomal RNA
Source: RNAcentral